UACGGAGGGUGCAAGCGUUAUCCGGAUUCACUGGGUUUAAAGGGUGCGUAGGUGGGCAGGUAAGUCCGUGGUGAAAUCCCUGAGCUUAACUCGGGAACUGCCAUGGAUACUAUUUGUCUUGAAUACUGUGGAGGUAAGCGGAAUAUGUCAUGUAGCGGUGAAAUGCUUAGAUAUGACAUAGAACACCAAUUGCGAAGGCAGCUUACUACACAGUUAUUGACACUGAGGCACGAAAGCGUGGGGAUCAAACAGG
This 253-nucleotide ribosomal RNA is filed under the name uncultured bacterium. RNAcentral's name for it is "partial 16S ribosomal RNA". It matches the Rfam family "Bacterial small subunit ribosomal RNA", at positions 524 to 776 of the family's 1533-position model. The record is from RNAcentral.